GGCGAGGUAGCUCAGUUGGUAGAGCACACGACUGAAAAUCGUGGUGUCGCGGGUUCGAAUCCCGCCCUCGCCACUA
RNAcentral lists this transfer RNA (76 nucleotides) under Actinomycetes bacterium. Its description in RNAcentral is "Actinobacteria bacterium tRNA-Phe". It matches the Rfam family "tRNA". Rfam says of the family: Transfer RNA (tRNA) molecules are approximately 80 nucleotides in length. Their secondary structure includes four short double-helical elements and three loops (D, anti-codon, and T loops). Further hydrogen bonds mediate the characteristic L-shaped molecular structure. tRNAs have two regions of fundamental functional importance: the anti-codon, which is responsible for specific mRNA codon recognition, and the 3' end, to which the tRNAs corresponding amino acid is attached (by aminoacyl-tRNA synthetases). tRNAs cope with the degeneracy of the genetic code in two manners: having more than one tRNA (with a specific anti-codon) for a particular amino acid; and 'wobble' base-pairing, i.e. permitting non-standard base-pairing at the 3rd anti-codon position. Lineage: Bacteria; Bacillati; Actinomycetota; Actinomycetes. The record is from RNAcentral.